UGUUCGUAUUGUUGUGUAUUCUUCAAUGUCCAUUCUUUCGUCAUGGUCAAGUUUAAAAACCACCAAACCGUAUACGUGUCCAGGAGUAGUUUAUUCGCCACUCGCCCGAUCCGUUUCGAAAUUACUAUUAAAUCGUUUGAUUUCACAAUGGUGUUAAGAACAUUCUCUCCGGUAAUAACCCUCGGAAAACAAUAUUCCUUCCUGCGCCAGCGAUUACGGCGAGGAUACACAGUGUGUUCCACGAACAUCUGACAAACGCAGUAGCUUUUGUUCCACUCGACACUUUUAAAUUUCUCUUUUUCGUGAUAAUCACGGCCACGGGCUUGAUCUCUGUAUUAUAAAUCGUGUUUU
Cinara cedri is the source of this 351-nucleotide non-coding RNA. The record is from the annotation of a GenBank genome assembly. Lineage: Eukaryota; Metazoa; Arthropoda; Insecta; Hemiptera; Aphididae.